RNAcentral lists this ribosomal RNA (253 nucleotides) under uncultured bacterium. RNAcentral describes it as "partial 16S ribosomal RNA". It matches the Rfam family "Bacterial small subunit ribosomal RNA", at positions 524 to 776 of the family's 1533-position model. The record is from RNAcentral.
GACGUAGGAGGCGAGCGAUAUCAGGAUUUACUGGGCGUAAAGCGCGAGCAGGCGGCCGUGCCAGUUGGGCGUGAAAUCUCCUGGCUUAACUGGGAGGGGCCGUCCAAUACUGCAUGGCUUGAGGGCAGGAGAGGGAAGUGGAAUUUCCGGGGUAGCGGUAAUAUGCGCAGAUAUCGGAAGGAACACCAGUGGCGAAGGCGGCUUCCUGGCCUGUACCUGACGCUGAGACGCGAAAGCUAGGGGAGCGAACGGG